This 253-nucleotide ribosomal RNA is filed under the name uncultured bacterium. Its description in RNAcentral is "partial 16S ribosomal RNA". It matches the Rfam family "Bacterial small subunit ribosomal RNA", at positions 524 to 776 of the family's 1533-position model. The record is from RNAcentral.
UACGUAGGGGGCAAGCGUUGUCCGGAUUUAUUGGGCGUAAAGAGCGUGUAGGCGGCUAGGUAGGUCCGUUGUGAAAACUCGAGGCUCAACCUCGAGACGUCGAUGGAAACCAUCUAGCUAGAGUCCGGAAGAGGAGAGUGGAAUUCCUGGUGUAGCGGUGAAAUGCGCAGAUAUCAGGAGGAACACCAGUAGCGAAGGCGGCUCGCUGGGCCACACCUGACGCUGAGACGCGAAAGCGUGGGGAGCGAACAGG